GACGAACGCUGGCGGCGUGCUUAACACAUGCAAGUCGAACGGAAAGGCCCUGCUUUUGUGGGGUGCUCGAGUGGCGAACGGGUGAGUAACACGUGAGUAACCUGCCCUUGACUUUGGGAUAACUUCAGGAAACUGGGGCUAAUACCGGAUAGGAGCUCCUGCUGCAUGGUGGGGGUUGGAAAGUUUCGGCGGUUGGGGAUGGACUCGCGGCUUAUCAGCUUGUUGGUGGGGUAGUGGCUUACCAAGGCUUUGACGGGUAGCCGGCCUGAGAGGGUGACCGGCGGCAUUGGGACGGAGAGAAGGACGAGACGCCGCCGGGAGGCAGCAGGGGGGGGGCGGGCGGCAGGGGCGGGGGCGUGAUGCCGCGACGCCGGGUGCGGGAGGACGGGCGGAGGGGUUUAAAAAGCAUUCGCCGGUGACGAAGCGGGAGUGACGGGAAUGGGUAAAGAAGCACCGGCUAACUUCGUG
RNAcentral lists this ribosomal RNA (468 nucleotides) under uncultured bacterium. RNAcentral's name for it is "partial 16S ribosomal RNA". It matches the Rfam family "Bacterial small subunit ribosomal RNA", at positions 28 to 507 of the family's 1533-position model. The record is from RNAcentral.